This 74-nucleotide transfer RNA is filed under the name Lipingzhangella halophila. It matches the Rfam family "tRNA". From Rfam's summary of the family: Transfer RNA (tRNA) molecules are approximately 80 nucleotides in length. Their secondary structure includes four short double-helical elements and three loops (D, anti-codon, and T loops). Lineage: Bacteria; Bacillati; Actinomycetota; Actinomycetes; Streptosporangiales; Nocardiopsidaceae. The record is from Rfam by way of RNAcentral.
GGGGCGGUAGCUCAGCUGGUUAGAGCAGCAGACUCAUAAUCUGUAGGUCGUGGGUUCAAGUCCCACCCGCCCCA